AUUUGGAAUUGGGGAAUUGAUUGAUUCUGUGGUAAAUGAAGAUGAAAUUCUUGUUGCUGAGCUUUGUGAAACCAACAUGUAAACAGGAAAAGAAAAGUUACUUUCAACGCAGAAAUAGAUCAAGAUUCUUAUGAAGAAGACGAGGGUUAUGUCCCAACUGAUGAAGAAUCGUCGGAAGAACCAUCAAGCACCACAUUUUCAUCAAAGAGAAAAAGAUGGACAGUGGAUGAGGAGAAUGUCCUGAGAUUUGAAUUUAAUAAGAACUUUAAAGAUAAAAACUUGCAAGAAAUGCUGAAGCACUGAAAGUAAAAAAAACAAAUACAAAUUUCUUGCUGAUAAAGAUAUUUAUUAGAUAAGGAGUAAAGUGAAACAUAUGCUGAGACGUAAAUGAGUUAACAGAGUUAGGACUUUUGUCAUGCAGUCAAACAUGAUUCUGUGAAACUUUAAACUGGAACAGUAACUCCUGAAAAAAUACCCCAGACUUAUUUUUUGGUCAUCUCAAUUAACUUAGAGGUAGAUAAACAAGGGUCCUACUGAAUGCUAAAUGUUUUAGAUUG
Ostrea edulis (European flat oyster) is the source of this 557-nucleotide long non-coding RNA. RefSeq lists it as uncharacterized. The record is from RefSeq and is a predicted model, not a curated record. The transcript is spliced from 3 exons. NCBI's taxonomy places the organism in Eukaryota, Metazoa, Mollusca, Bivalvia, Ostreida, Ostreidae.